AUGUGUUUUUCCCUGCAUUCUUUAUUUCAGGAACUUACCAUUGGUACAUUUUUCAGCGAAUCACUGAACAACUUGAAGCUUCUAAUGGUGGAACCAUUGACAGUUGCUGCCGGGAUAGGAUGGGGCAUGAAAGCUGCAGGGUGGGUUGCCUCGCCCAUCAUCUCUGAGCUUUUCAAGAAAGCUUCCCCCUACCUAGGCUUUGACGCAUCGAAGAAGCUGAAGGAACUUGAGACAAAGAUUUUACUGCUGGAGCAGGUGAUGGAAAUGGUGGAUGAGAGUCGUCACAGGGGUCGUCUCCAGCAGCUGUUCGAGGAUCUUAAGUCUGCUUUUUAUGAAGCUGAAGAAAUAUUGGAUGAUGUUGAAUAUCACCGUCUUAAGAAGCAGAUCAAAGAUAAUAAGAUGAAGCCAGACAGCGACGUGUCUCUACGUAAGAGGGAUUGGGUGAAGAAGAAGCUCCAAUCUGCCGUGCCGAGCUUCCCCCUAAAAGAUCAGAAGAGUGGUAUGGCAAAAACUAAGUUGAAGCAGAGCCUAGACAAAAUAGAAAAGGUCAUAAAUGAUACAUGCGGAAUUUUGGAAAAGAUGAACUUGCCAAGCAUAAUAAACGCUAACCGGAGCCAUGCUGUUGCUGCUAGCUCACGAGGUGCAGUCACUACUGCGACGCCUCCAUUAGUGGUAAUUGGACGAGGUGAAGAUUGUGAUAAGAUUGCUGCAAUGCUUCAUGAGACGGAACAAGAUGGUCUUCCUGGCACCAAUAGUACUCUGCGUUAUUCUGUAAUUGGCAUUCAUGGCAUCGGUGGUUCUGGGAAGUCAACCCUUGCACAACUUGUUUGUGACCGUGAGAAAAAGGAUAAGCAAGAGAAAAAGGAUGGUCAUUUUGACCUUGUUAUGUGGGUUCAUGUUACUCAGAGUUUUAGUGUGGAUACCAUUUUCAAGAUGAUGUUUAACGCAGCUAGAGGGACUCCGUGCCCUCAUUUCGAUAAUCCUGACAUCUUAGAAGUUAAUUUGAAGAAUGAACUGCAAGGAAAACGGUUCCUCUUGGUACUAGAUGAUGUUUGGUACAGUAAUGGAGAUGAUGUGCAGUAUGAGAAGCUGCAAAAGAUACUUACACCACUGAACGCUGGAGAGGCAGGAAGCAAGAUCCUCUUGACUAGUCGAACUGAAGAUGCAUUGAUAGCUCUAGGUGCUGAAGAGCAGUGA
RNAcentral lists this ribosomal RNA (1197 nucleotides) under Triticum aestivum (bread wheat). RNAcentral's name for it is "partial small subunit ribosomal RNA". The record is from RNAcentral. Lineage: Eukaryota; Viridiplantae; Streptophyta; Magnoliopsida; Poales; Poaceae.